CACGAGUUCUCAUACUCAUCCUAUCUUAUCCUGUGUUGUUGACUCGGGUUUGUUGUGGCGUGUUGUGGUCACACGCACGUCACACAGCCCAUUUUCGAUACUUCUACCCAGUGAUAUUAUCUGACUGAUUGUUUGUUUUUAACCUAAAA
Molecule: unclassified non-coding RNA, 149 nt
Filed under: uncultured fungus
Lineage: Eukaryota; Fungi
Description: sequence contains ITS1
Source: RNAcentral